GCCCCGGUCGUAUAGCCAGGUCAAGUAUACUGGCCUCUCGAGCCAGCGACAACUAUGCUGGAAACCCGGGUUCAAAUCCCGGCCGGGGCA
RNAcentral lists this transfer RNA (90 nucleotides) under Thermoprotei archaeon. RNAcentral's name for it is "tRNA-Glu". It matches the Rfam family "tRNA". From Rfam's summary of the family: Transfer RNA (tRNA) molecules are approximately 80 nucleotides in length. Their secondary structure includes four short double-helical elements and three loops (D, anti-codon, and T loops). The record is from RNAcentral. Lineage: Archaea; Thermoproteati; Thermoproteota; Thermoprotei.